RNAcentral lists this ribosomal RNA (467 nucleotides) under uncultured bacterium. RNAcentral describes it as "partial 16S ribosomal RNA". It matches the Rfam family "Bacterial small subunit ribosomal RNA", at positions 28 to 506 of the family's 1533-position model. The record is from RNAcentral.
GACGAACGCUGGCGGCGUGCUUAACACAUGCAAGUCGAACGGAAAGGCCCUGCUUUUGUGGGGUGCUCGAGUGGCGAACGGGUGAGUAACACGUGAGUAACCUGCCCUUGACUUUGGGAUAACUUCAGGAAACUGGGGCUAAUACCGGAUAGGAGCUCCUGCUGCAUGGUGGGGGUUGGAAAGUUUCGGCGGUUGGGGAUGGACUCGCGGCUUAUCAGCUUGUUGGUGGGGUAGUGGCUUACCAAGGCUUUGACGGGUAGCCGGCCUGAGAGGGUGACCGGCCACAUUGGGACUGAGAUACGGCCCAGACUCCUACGGGAGGCAGCAGUGGGGAAUAUUGCACAAUGGGCGGAAGCCUGAUGCAGCAACGCUGCGUGCGGGAGGACGGCCUUCGGGUUGUAAACCGCUUUCGCCUGUGACGAAGCGUGAGUGACGGUAAUGGGUAAAGAAGCACCGGCUAACUACGU